RNAcentral lists this ribosomal RNA (255 nucleotides) under uncultured bacterium. RNAcentral describes it as "partial 16S ribosomal RNA". It matches the Rfam family "Bacterial small subunit ribosomal RNA", at positions 524 to 776 of the family's 1533-position model. The record is from RNAcentral.
UACGUAGGGUGCAGGCGUAAUCGGAAUUACUGGGCGUAAAGCGUGCGCAGGCGGUCUUUUAAGGUCAGAUGUGAAAUCCCCGGGCUUAACCUGGGAACUGCGUUUGAAACUGGAAGGCUAGAGUGUGGCAGAGGGGGGUGGAAUUCCACGUGUAGCAGUGAAAUGCGUAGAGAUGUGGAGGAAGCACCGAUGGCGAAGGCAGCCCCCUGGGCUAACACUGACGCCUCAUGCACGAAAGCGUGGGGAGCAAACAGG